UAAUACGUAGGGUGCGAGCGUUAAUCGGAAUUACUGGGCGUAAAGCGUGCGCAGGCGGCUUCGCAAGUCAGACGUGAAAUCCCCGGGCUUAACCUGGGAAUGGCGUUUGAAACUACGGAGCUGGAGUGUGGCAGAGGGAGGUAGAAUUCCACGUGUAGCGGUGAAAUGCGUAGAUAUGUGGAGGAAUACCGAUGGCGAAGGCAGCCUCCUGGGCCAACACUGACGCUCAUGCACGAAAGCGUGGGGAGCAAACAGGAUUAGAUACCCUGGUAGUCCACGCCCUAAACUAUGUCAACUAGUUGUUGGGGGAGUUAAAUCCCUUAGUAACGCAGCUAACGCGUGAAGUUGACCGCCUGGGGAGUACGGUCGCAAGAUUAAAACUUAAAUGAAUUGACGG
RNAcentral lists this ribosomal RNA (397 nucleotides) under uncultured bacterium. Its description in RNAcentral is "bacterial SSU rRNA". It matches the Rfam family "Bacterial small subunit ribosomal RNA", at positions 521 to 916 of the family's 1533-position model. The record is from RNAcentral.